UCACGCAAGUGGACCCAGAGGUCUCCGCCCGCUGCGCCACAAGGGCCGAGUGGAGCACCGACCCUGAGGGCGCCCGGAAGCAGUAGGAGCCGCUGCCAGGCGCCCCCGUGAGGCAACUCGCCGCCGCUGGGAGGAAACUGAGGCCCUGAGCUCAGAAGGGACUGCUCCUUCCAAACUGGGAAAGGGAUUGCUUCAUCUGAUGCAUAGAAACCAGCACAGAGAGUCCAGCAGGAUGAAGAAAACACAACUGCAUUGCCGUGUGGGAAACCAGCAACCCUGCAUGUCCUGUGGGUGAAGCUGCUGCCCUUGGGCUCACCUUCCCAGAGCCCCCUGUGCAGACUGCUGGCUAUUAGCAAGAGGGGAUUUGAUGUCCCUCUCAUCUUGGGAUGCAUGGUAAGAAAUUUAUGAAAACACUGGGUCCUGGAGCCUAAAAGAGGAGAUGGUAGCUAAAAAACAAAGUAGUCUAGCUUGCUAAGGACUCUGUUCUUUGUAGGUGAGGGCUAGAAAUUGUUUUUGAGGGUGGAAAUGGUGGUAAUACCUCCAAGGGAGGUGCCCGUGUUCCAACAUGGAACUGGACAUGACUGGGAUUGGAUUAGAGUGAAGGAGAUAGAGGACACCAGCCUGCCCAAGGAAACUUUCUCCUUGUAGAAGUUGGAAUAACACACCAAACACCAGAAGGAACAACCAUCGAAGGCUGUCUUGAGACAGGAAUGAGUACUGGCUGCAUCCUUUUAGAUAUCUUAUCGUUUCCUCUAGGACAUUAUGCUUUCUUUCCCCAGAUCUUUCAGUUGUGUUUUAUCUUCAAAUAAAAAAGAGAAACUUCUUCCAGAGCCCAGAGGGACCACUGUAACCACAGGAUCACCAUGACCACUCUUUGGCCCCAGGAAAGGGCCCACUCAGAUAGCAUCAGACUGGAUGAGGGACUUCCAAAUGGAACAACAUGUUGCUACUGUGUCCUGGAAGGUCCAACUGUCUCCACUUACAAGGGUCUUAUGUAUCUCCAUAAGGUUUGGGAGAAUUGGUUGUGAGAACAAUGUGGAUACUGAUGGAGAAAAUACAAGGUGGCCCAGAGUGGCCAUUGAUUUUCUUCCUUGGGUUUCUGAGAAAGCUUUGCUCCCUAGGCACCUUUAUCCGGCUUGCUGACCGAAGCAUUAUUCACACUUCUCCUGUGGCCAUGAGGGUGAGACACCUGCUGCUAGGGACUCCAGGCUCCUACCUCUGAAGGACAGUGGACUAAAUUUCUGACAGGGGCCAUGAGACACCUUUGAGGGAAAGAGAUGUAAGAGCUCUGAUCUCUGAGGACAUAAAGGCUCUCACAGGUGCUUGCUUUAGUUAUCACUGCCUUUUAGAUGGCAUUUUCCAUGAGGUUCUAAAUUCUUCAUCAUUCUUCGCAGACUGGGAAUGGGCUCAGAGGGGAAGUCGUGCCCCCUUGUGAAGUGUACUAAGGGGUCUUCGGAAGGUCCCACCAUGGCCUCCCACACAGCAAAUGCAUUACCUCUGUCUGUGAAGAAUGGAAAUGUUAUGAAUAUCAUAACAUGAGGGUGAGGGUGAUCUCUGAAAUCCAUUGUGAGCAUGGAACUCAAUGGCCAUUAUCAGAGAUAACAAUCGUUGGCAUUAUUCAUAUGUGCUGUACGGGCCAUAAAACACUUGGCAACACAUCUCAUUGGAUUCUCACACUCUCGAUGAGAGGUAGGGAAGGCAUGUAUCAUUCUAAUCUCAUUUUACAGAAGGGAAAAAAGAGGCCCCGGGAGUCAAGCAAUGAGGGGGACACCUUCAUUGCUAUGCUCCUGGAAAAUAGGGGUGCUCUAGGAACCUCACCCUCUUGUAUUCUAACAGCUGACUGAAAAGAGCCAUCUUUCCCCUGUGACUUACACAUGACUCACAGGUGUCUCCUUGUUUCCCUGUGAAGCGGCCAGACACAGACCCUCCAGAUCCCUGCCUCAUAAGGGAUUAGGUAUUUGACCAGUUGAGACAAAAUACCUGCUAACUUGACUUGGUCACACUCUUACAGAUUUCUCUCCUUCCUGGUUUAACCUUUGAACUUUGAUCUCCUGACGUUGAGUCAGCAUCAGGGUGUGGACCAGCUGCUCUCUGAGAGGGGGCUGAUUUCAGGGAAAGACAUUUCCUGAUUAGCUAUCUGAUCAAGCCAUCCAUUCAUACCACUCCCUACUCCUGGUUCUUCUAGACCAGCUUACUCCACCCAGGAAAGAAAAUUCCUUUUUGCCCAACCUUUGAGAGGAUCUUAGGUCAGAGUGUUGCAACAGUCUUUUCGAGUGAAGUCCCCCUUCAUCUAAGUCUUUGUAUGUGAUGUGGCACAGGCUAAGGAUCAGAGAAAGCUUCCUGCCACCCAGUCUUGGUCACCCUCAUGGUCUGACUGUUGCACCUGCCGGGGUGGGUGGUUGAAUUGUGGCCCUGACUCUGGGCCCUGCCUAUUCCAAACUUGGUUCCCAUGGCUCACUUGGGGGUCUUGCAGCAUGGUGCCCUGCAAAGGUCUCUGGAAUACAGCUCUUUCAUGAGAACCGAGGAGCAAUCUCAAAGGACAUGGGUGCUCCAGGGAAGACUUAUGCUGCUGUGUUUAUACGGGUGUCUUACGUGAACCUGAGAAUAAGUGUGUCCCAUUAAGAAGU
This is a long non-coding RNA of Acinonyx jubatus (cheetah), 2627 nucleotides long. RefSeq lists it as uncharacterized. The transcript is spliced from 5 exons. NCBI's taxonomy places the organism in Eukaryota, Metazoa, Chordata, Mammalia, Carnivora, Felidae. The record is from RefSeq and is a predicted model, not a curated record.